GAAUGGCUCAAGGGGAAGAGCAUGGGGUUGGCAUCCCAAUGGUCCCGGGUUCAAAUCUGGGCGUGUAUA
This is a non-coding RNA of Aphanomyces cochlioides, 69 nucleotides long. The record is from the annotation of a GenBank genome assembly. Lineage: Eukaryota; Oomycota; Saprolegniomycetes; Saprolegniales; Verrucalvaceae.